UUAAUUUCUGAGUUUGUCAUC
RNAcentral lists this microRNA (21 nucleotides) under Arachis hypogaea (peanut). RNAcentral's name for it is "ahy-miR3513-5p". The record is from miRBase by way of RNAcentral. Lineage: Eukaryota; Viridiplantae; Streptophyta; Magnoliopsida; Fabales; Fabaceae.